This 563-nucleotide ribosomal RNA is filed under the name Streptomyces sp. 322G09. Its description in RNAcentral is "bacterial SSU rRNA". It matches the Rfam family "Bacterial small subunit ribosomal RNA", at positions 93 to 670 of the family's 1533-position model. Lineage: Bacteria; Bacillati; Actinomycetota; Actinomycetes; Kitasatosporales; Streptomycetaceae. The record is from RNAcentral.
UAGUGGCGAACGGGUGAGUAACACGUGGGCAAUCUGCCCUGCACUCUGGGACAAGCCCUGGAAACGGGGUCUAAUACCGGAUAANACUNCGGGCCUCAUGGUCUGUGGUUAAAAGCUCCGGCGGUGCAGGAUGAGCCCGCGGCCUAUCAGCUUGUUGGUGAGGUAAUGGCUCACCAAGGCGACGACGGGUAGCCGGCCUGAGAGGGCGACCGGCCACACUGGGACUGAGACACGGCCCAGACUCCUACGGGAGGCAGCAGUGGGGAAUAUUGCACAAUGGGCGAAAGCCUGAUGCAGCGACGCCGCGUGAGGGAUGACGGCCUUCGGGUUGUAAACCUCUUUCAGCAGGGAAGAAGCGCAAGUGACGGUACCUGCAGAAGAAGCGCCGGCUAACUACGUGCCAGCAGCCGCGGUAAUACGUAGGGCGCAAGCGUUGUCCGGAAUUAUUGGGCGUAAAGAGCUCGUAGGCGGCUUGUCACGUCGGGUGUGAAAGCCCGGGGCUUAACCCCGGGUCUGCAUUCGAUACGGGCUAGCUAGAGUGUGGUAGGGGAGAUCGNAUUCCU